RNAcentral lists this ribosomal RNA (402 nucleotides) under uncultured bacterium. RNAcentral describes it as "bacterial SSU rRNA". It matches the Rfam family "Bacterial small subunit ribosomal RNA", at positions 355 to 773 of the family's 1533-position model. The record is from RNAcentral.
UGAGGAAUAUUGCACAAUGGGGGAAACCCUGAUGCAGCGACGCCGCGUGGGUGAUGAAGGUUUUCGGAUCGUAAAGCCCUUUUCUGCAUGACGAGGACAGGACGGUAGUGCAGGAAUAAGUGUCGGCUAACUACGUGCCAGCAGCCGCGGUAAAACGUAGGACACAAGCGUUAUCCGGAAUUACUGGGCGUAAAGGGCGUGCAGGCGGUUUCGUAAGUUAGGCGUGAAAGACUUCGGCUAAACCGGGGGAGUCGUCUGAUACUGCGGAACUAGAGUAUGGUAGAGGCGUGUAGAAUUCCGGGUGUAGUGGUGAAAUGCGUAGAGAUCCGGAGGAAUCCGAGUGGCGAAGGCGGCACGCUGGGCCAUAACUGACGCUAAGACGCGAAAGCAUGGGUAGCGAAC